AACGAACGCUGGCGGCAUGCCUAACACAUGCAAGUCGAACGAAGCCUUCGGGCUUAGUGGCGCACGGGUGCGUAACGCGUGGGAAUCUGCCCUUUGGUUCGGAAUAACAGUUGGAAACGACUGCUAAUACCGGAUGAUGACGAAAGUCCAAAGAUUUAUCGCCAGAGGAUGAGCCCGCGUAGGAUUAGCUAGUUGGUGUGGUAAAGGCGCACCAAGGCGACGAUCCUUAGCUGGGCUGAGAGGAUGAUCAGCCACACUGGGACUGAGACACGGCCCAGACUCCUCCGGGAGGCAGCAGUGGGGAAUAUUGGACAAUGGGCGAAAGCCUGAUCCAGCAAUGCCGCGUGAAUGAUGAAGGCCCUAGGGUUGUAAAGCUCUUUUACCCGGGAUGAUAAUGACAGUACCGGGAGAAUAAGCCCCGGCUGACUCCGUGCCAGCCGCCGCGGUAA
Molecule: ribosomal RNA, 449 nt
Filed under: uncultured bacterium
Lineage: Bacteria
Description: partial 16S ribosomal RNA
Rfam family: Bacterial small subunit ribosomal RNA
Source: RNAcentral